This is a non-coding RNA of Phrynosoma platyrhinos (Desert horned lizard), 72 nucleotides long. The record is from the annotation of a GenBank genome assembly. NCBI's taxonomy places the organism in Eukaryota, Metazoa, Chordata, Lepidosauria, Squamata, Phrynosomatidae.
GCCAGCAUGGUGUAGUGGUUUGAGUGCUGGACUGUGGAUCUGGAGACCAGGGUUCAAAAUCCCAGUUUGGCC